This 486-nucleotide ribosomal RNA is filed under the name uncultured bacterium. RNAcentral describes it as "partial 16S ribosomal RNA". It matches the Rfam family "Bacterial small subunit ribosomal RNA", at positions 28 to 507 of the family's 1533-position model. The record is from RNAcentral.
GACGAACGCUGGCGGCGUGCUUAACACAUGCAAGUCGAACGCUUAAGACCUGGCUUUUGUUGGGUUGGAUGAGUGGCGAACGGGUGAGUAACACGUGAGUAACCUGCCCUCUUCUUUGGGAUAACGCCCGGAAACGGGUGCUAAUACUGGAUAUUCACUGAUCUUCGCAUGGGGGUUGGUGGAAAGGUUUGUUCUGGUGGGGGAUGGGCUCGCGGCCUAUCAGCUUGUUGGUGGGGUGAUGGCCUACCACGGCUUUGACGGGUAGCCGGCCUGAGAGGGUGACCGGUGAAAUUGGGAAUGAGAUACGGCCCAGACUCAUACGGGAGGCAGGAGUGGGGAAUAUUGCGCAAUGGGCGAAAGCCUGAUGCAGCGACGCCGGGUGAGGGAGGGAGGCCUUCGGGGUGUAAACCUCUGGCGGGAAUGGUCAAGACGCAACUGUGGGUUGUGGUGAGGGUAGUGGGUAAAGAAGCGCCGGCUAACUACGUG